Molecule: long non-coding RNA, 416 nt
Filed under: Bos indicus x Bos taurus (hybrid cattle)
Lineage: Eukaryota; Metazoa; Chordata; Mammalia; Artiodactyla; Bovidae
Description: lncRNA (ENSBIXG00005006955.1)
Source: RNAcentral
GAUAUUUUUAAGUCUUAAGUCUGGUUUUCCUGUCUUUACUAACUAAACUGAACUUCUUUGAUUCCAGAACUGAUGAGUUAAUAAAAAAGCAAUCCAUGAGAAAUUUGCCCAGUGCACUGUGGUAACCAUCACACACAGACUGAGCACCAUUACUGACAGUGACAUGAUAAUGGUUUUGGAUUCAGGGACAAGGAAAGAAUACAGUCCACCACAUGAUUUGCUGCAAAACAGUAAGAGCCUAUUUUACAAGAUGGUGCAACAACUGGGUGAGGCUGAGGCCACUGCCCUCACUGAAAGAGCCAAACAGGUGAGGCUGCUGCAGGGAGUUGUAAUUGAAGUUUGUCUCCAGGGUUCACACUCUUCACCUGAUCUCCAACAGGCAUCUGGUAACAAGCACUCUGUGCCCUUUUCAAUCA